CAAGCUGGUGGCGUCCACGUGCGACACCAGCUUCCACCAGCCGGUGGAGAAGGUGCUGGGUCACCUGGCGCCCGAGGGCACGCGCCUCACAGAAGACCACGCGCGCAACCUCUUCUUCGGCGACUAUCUCUUCCCCGACAACGACCCCAAGAUCUACGACGAGAUCACGGAGCUGGACGCGCUGACGGAGGUGAUGGAGGGCUACCUCAGCGAGUACAACAUGGUCAACAAGACGCCGAUGAACCUGGUCAUGUUCAAGUUCAUCAUAGAGCACAUCAGUCGGAUCAGCCGCGUGCUCAAGCAGGACUCCGGUCACGCCCUGCUGGUGGGUAUCGGCGGCAGCGGCCGACAGAGCGCCACCAAGCUGGCCGCCUUCAUGGACAACUUCGACCUGU
This is a long non-coding RNA of Pollicipes pollicipes, 395 nucleotides long. RefSeq lists it as uncharacterized. The record is from RefSeq and is a predicted model, not a curated record. NCBI's taxonomy places the organism in Eukaryota, Metazoa, Arthropoda, Thecostraca, Pollicipedomorpha, Pollicipedidae. The transcript has 3 exons.